Molecule: ribosomal RNA, 492 nt
Filed under: uncultured bacterium
Lineage: Bacteria
Description: partial 16S ribosomal RNA
Rfam family: Bacterial small subunit ribosomal RNA
Source: RNAcentral
AGUGAACGCUGGCGGUAGGCCUAACACAUGCAAUUCGAACGGCAGCACAGUAAGAGCUUGCUCUUACGGGUGGCGAGUGGCGGACGGGUGAGGAAUACAUCGGAAUCUACUUUUUCGUGGGGGAUAACGUAGGGAAACUUACGCUAAUACCGCAUACGACCUACGGGUGAAAGCAUGGUAUCUUCGGACCUUGCGCGAUUGUAUGAGCCGAUGUCGGAUUAGCUAGUUGGCUGGGUAAAGGCCCACCAAGGCGACGAUCCGUAGCUGGUCUGAGAGGAUGAUCAGCCACACUGGAACUGAGACACGGUCCAGACUCCUACGGGAGGCAGCAGUGGGGAAUAUUGGGCAAUGGGCGCAAGCCUGAUCCAGCCAUACCGCGUGAGUGAAGAAGGCCUUCGGGUUGUAAAGCCCUUUUGUUGGGAAAGAAAAGAAGCAGGUUAAUACCCCGCUGUUCUGACGGUACCCAAAGAAUAAGCACCGGCUAACUUCGUG